GUAGGGGGCGAGCGUUGUCCGGAUUUAUUGGGCGUAAAGAGCUCGUAGGCGGUUGCGUAAGUCGGAUGUGAAAACUCAGGGCUCAACCCUGAGAUGCCAUUCGAUACUGCGCUGACUCGAGUCCGGUAGGGGAGCAUGGAAUUCCUGGUGUAGCGGUGAAAUGCGCAGAUAUCAGGAGGAACACCAGUGGCGAAGGCGGUGCUCUGGGCCGGUACUGACGCUGAGGAGCGAAAGCAUGGGUAGCAAACAGGAUUAGAUACCCUGGUAGUCCCAUGCCCGUAAACGUUGGGCACUAGGUGUGGGGCCUACUUAACGGGUUCCGUGCCGUAGCUAACGCAUUAAGUGCCCCCGCCUGGGAGUACGGCAGCAAGGCUA
This 375-nucleotide ribosomal RNA is filed under the name uncultured organism. RNAcentral describes it as "partial 16S ribosomal RNA". It matches the Rfam family "Bacterial small subunit ribosomal RNA", at positions 527 to 896 of the family's 1533-position model. The record is from RNAcentral.